CUUAUCAAAAACACUGUUCGGGAUUCAAAAUACGAUUGUAUAGAAUUUUUUAAUCUCCUCUAUAAAUAGGAGGAAAGAUCAAUUGUAUAGAUAUCUUGUAAAUUACGAAAUACUUUCCUUUUUAGUUUUCUCUUGUAAACUUUUCCUUUUUGUAAUAAAAUAGUCUAUCUUAAACCAUCACUACUUGUGUCAUGGCCACUUUUGUCACUGCUUACCUCAUCAUUGUUUUGAUGACUUCCACCUUGCCAAAC
This 251-nucleotide long non-coding RNA is filed under the name Gossypium barbadense (sea-island cotton). RNAcentral's name for it is "long non-coding RNA (GBAR_LNC013553)". Lineage: Eukaryota; Viridiplantae; Streptophyta; Magnoliopsida; Malvales; Malvaceae. The record is from RNAcentral.